CAUUGUCUUCACGAGUCUGUACGCGAUAUUGAAAUCGUUCGCCUCGUGUGAGGCUAAGG
This 59-nucleotide microRNA precursor is filed under the name Pristionchus pacificus. RNAcentral's name for it is "mir-8229 microRNA precursor family". It matches the Rfam family "mir-8229 microRNA precursor family". The record is from Rfam by way of RNAcentral. Lineage: Eukaryota; Metazoa; Nematoda; Chromadorea; Rhabditida; Neodiplogasteridae.